GGCAGAGAACAUGGUGGCAGUCAGGCAGACAUGGUGGUGGAGAAAGAGCCCAGAGUUGUACAUUCGGAUCCACAGGAAGCAGGAAGAGAGACAUUGGGCCUGGUUUGGGUAUUUGAAACCUCAAAUCACACCUCCAAUGAGACACUUCCACCAACAAAGCUACAUCUACUCCAACAGGGACACGUCUCCUAAUCCCUGUGGAGAUGCCGACACCCACACCAGGAUUAUCAGACUGUUUUGUUGUACACAGAUGUCCUCUCAUAUGGUUAAAUGCUUAAUUUAUUUCCUUGACACCUACUCUGACUGGGAUUCACAAGGAACAAGGACUUAUUUUUCCAAUGUCCAGCGUCUGCCUAGUACAUGGAAGGAACUCAGUCAACACUGGUGAGGCUAUGGCUCACACAAGUUCAUGUCCUAGAAUGUUAAUUAUGUGUUGUGUAAGAAUAAAAUGGGAUGAUGUUUUCCUUAAAAGCAGCUGGAGUUGUUCGUCAGCAGAAUGGCUCAAUCCAGUACAUGGCAGAAAACAAGUGGAGAGUUGCCAUUGACAGACUGCAUCAUCAAUGGUGAAAACCAAGGAAGUACAGACAUCUGAGGCCUGUCAUGAUCAGAGCCUUUCCAUAAUCAAUGGGACACCAAAGCUCUCAUUGCUGUAGCAGGAAACCCUUGCUUCUCCAACUGUUUUGCAUGUAUCCAUUUUGGAGCUGUUGAAGCUGAUAUUCUCCAUCCUAAGCACAAAGUGAACACACUGGGGCAUCUUAGGGCAGUAGGUUCAUUGUUAACUCCCAUGGGAUCCAAUCCACAAUGUCCAAAUGUGUCCUGAGAUAUUUCCAGAAACUCUUCUCUUUCAGUCAUGCACUCAGUGUAAGGAGACAUAAGAAGUUUGGGGAGAGCAUACUGGUCUUUGGUUCCUCUAAUGUUUUCUAGGAACUCGACUCUGGUUUCAGCAUAUGGCCCUUUUUGUUCUAAAAUCCCCUGAGUGACCCAAGAGCCUGACUAUUAAUGUGCAUCUUUAAGUUUGAAAGGUGACAGUUCUAAACUAAGGAAAAAAAUUAAAAAAAUGGGACAGCAUUGGGCUGUUUCCACAUAGCCUCUGUCAUCCUCAGUCUUGCAGAAGCAGUUAUUCAUCUCUCUUAACCCUCCUUGCAGUCCAGUGGUCCAUGUCCCCAUCUUUGACUUGCCUGUUGGACUACUGUAGGCAGAGGAGGUAGAAGUCUAUGCAUUCAGUCUCUGGCUACAAAUCUCCUUUCCAGUUCAUCACAUAGCACUUGUGUCCCAUAUGUGCACACUGAAAAUGAGAUGGAUGAUUGAUCAUUGUGCUUCUCAGCAAGCAUGGUAGGAAGUGUUUUUCUUCCAUCUAAGGAGUGGUGAAGAUAAAGAUGAACCUACAGUUGGCAGUGGUGUGGGAGGCGGAUGAAUUUCCUCACUGUUGAAGGCUGUGAUCAGAUGGAAUUGGCUCAGUGCUUUGGGAGGGUGAUGUCAAUGUGUGAACUGAAGUUCUCAGAAAAAAGAGAAGAAAGAGAGAAAGAGGGGGAGGGAGGAAGAAAGAAAAAGUCCAUCACCAACUCCAUGCUAAUGAUUCUACAAGGCCAAAUGACCAACCUUUGUGAUUUUGUAGUGUUAAAAUAUAGGGAUCAAAUUAUCUUGGGCUUUUUUUGGGUUCCAAUGAAAGCCAUUCAUUACCCACUCCCUGUCUGAUUAUCAAAAUCCUGAAGAUGUCAUCUGCACAAAUCACUAGCUUCCAUAAAACUAGAGGCUAAGGCUGUCACAAGAUAGUUUUGCAAUGUAUAGACAAGUUCUCUGUGUUUUUCUGAAACUUGCCUACCUCUUCCCACUUUUGGUAACUGCCUUCACAAAUGACAUUGUUAUGUAACCAGCAAAUGCUACAAGCCACAAGAUCACACAGGAAUUAUACAGCCUUUGCAUCACAAGAUAGCUCAGAAGAAUUAAGGAUUCUUCUGAUGGAUGAAACCAGAACAGAAGCUGUACCUGGCAUUACAAUCUUGUGAAUGAAUUGGCUGUGUCUUGUUAGAUUCUUCCUGUAGGUUAUUCUUAUCUGUCACAAACUUGCGGCUUACUUCUCAGUUUAGCACCAUCUGAUUAUUUACUGAAAACAAAUUUCUCCCAUGAAUUUGGAGUUUUACUGAUUACACUACCUAGCUAUGUGUAAAUACCUGUUCUCCAUUAACAGGUCCUAGUUUACUGAUUAUAUUCCUUAGCUAUGUGUGAUGCCUGUUUCCCACUAUCAGGUUCUUGUUCCCCUCUCCAUUGCAAUUGCAGAAAACUGCCUUUCUGCAAUUAUCUGUAUUGACAGGCAUUUGGUCAGUGUUUAGGGCUCAGGCAAAAGCAUCCCAUCUAAGACAACCCAAAUAUCCAAGGAUACUUAUAUUUUUGGUUGUGAGCCUAGCCUUUAAUGGCUGAGCCAUCUUUCCAGCCCAAUAAGAGAUACUAUAGUAGAGGGAGACAUUAUAGGUUUAAAGAGAAAUCAGGCACUAGGGAAAUGUCUGGAGAGCUACAAAGAUGACACCAACUAACAAUCUAAGCAACAGAGGAGAGGCUACCUUAAAUGCCCUCCCCUGAUAAUGAGACUGAUGACUAACUUAUAUGCCAUCCUAUAGCCUUCAUCUAGCAGCUGGUGGAAGUAGAAGCAGACCCCCACAGCUAAACCUUGAACUGAACUGAAAUCCAGUUGCAGAGAAGGAAGACUGAUGAGCAAAGGGGUCAAGACCAGGCUGGUGAAACCCACAGAAACAGCUGACCUGAACAAGGGAGAGCUCUUGGUUCCAAGACUGAUAGCUGGGAAACCAACAUGGGACUGAUUCAGACCCUCUGAAUGUGGGUGUCAGUGAGGAGACCUCAGAAAUCUAUGGGGCCCUUUGUAGUGGAUCAGUACUUAUCCUUAGCAUAGGAAUGGACUUUGGGAGCCCAUCCCACAUGGAGGGAUACUCCCUGAGCCUAGAC
RNAcentral lists this long non-coding RNA (2958 nucleotides) under Cricetulus griseus (Chinese hamster). Its description in RNAcentral is "lncRNA (ENSCGRG00015041701.1)". Lineage: Eukaryota; Metazoa; Chordata; Mammalia; Rodentia; Cricetidae. The record is from RNAcentral.